RNAcentral lists this long non-coding RNA (1894 nucleotides) under Monodelphis domestica (gray short-tailed opossum). RNAcentral's name for it is "lncRNA (ENSMODG00000051046.1)". The record is from RNAcentral. Lineage: Eukaryota; Metazoa; Chordata; Mammalia; Didelphimorphia; Didelphidae.
CUUGUUAUUAAAAUUCAUAUAAUUAAAUGCAGUCAGAUAUCUUUGUAAGGGUGAAGGGAUCCCUGAAGGGAAAAAGAGUUUUUUAGGGGAGGUUCUCUGUAACCUCAAUACCCAAAUCUUGAGGUACCUGACCUUUCCCCCCUUUUGCCCCUGGUAUAAUAUCUGUUUUCAGAGUAUUUUUCUUACAAUAAUGUUAUUAUGGUAAAUUGUUCUCAUUCGGCUCAUCUUACUCUUCAUCAGUUUGUACAAAUCAUCCCAGGUUUCUUUGAAACUAUCCUCCAACUGAUGAAUGCCCUGUAAGUUUCCAAUUCUUUGCCACCACAAAAAGUUGCUACAUAUACUAUUUUUCUUUUCUUUUUUAAAAAUGCUGUGUCUGACACAAAACAGAUACUUUAUAACUAUCUUUUCCCUUCUCCUUUUCUCUACAACUUCUCUAGAAUUUGUCACUUUCCAUCAACUUUGCCAAUCUUAAGGGUAUGAAGUGAUAUCUCAGAAUUGUCUUAAUUUUCAUUCCUCUACUUAUUAGUGACAGAGCAUUUUCUUCAUGUGGCUACUAAUAGUUUGGAUUUCUUCCUUUGAAAACUACCUAUUCAUAUCCUUUCACCAUUUGUUAGCUGGGGCAUGGUGGACAGAGUUCCUAAAUUGAUCUCUUUUCUAGUCAAUCCUAUACACUCUGGGAACAUAAUCUUUCCAAGAUACAGAGCCAACCAUGCCACUCACUCCCUUGCUCAAACUCUUUUGAAGUUUCAAAUGCUUUAGACUACCAUUUGGAGACUCUAACUUGACUCCCUUCUACCUUUACUGUUCUAUACCUCCAACUCAGGUCACACUUUCUACAACAAACCUCUGCUAGACCUUUUUAAUCUUAGUGCCUCCCACAUGAAAAAUAUAUAAAUCUCAUUUGUGAAUCCUUGUUUGCAUGCUGACUCCCCAUUAAACUGUGAGCUCUUUGAGAGCAGAGACUCUUUUGCCUUUAUUUAAACACAUAUUAAGUGCUUAAAAAAUUCUUCCUCCCUCUCUCUCUUUCCCUCUUCCUUCUUUCUCUCAGCUUUUCUUCCUUUCUCUCUCUUUCUUUCUUUCUUUCUUUCUCUCUUUCUCUCUCUCUCUCUUUCUUUCUUUCUUUCUUUCUUUCUUUCUUUCUUUCUUUCUUUCUUUCUUUCUUUCUUUCUUUCUUUCUUUCUUUCUUUCUUUCUUUCUUUCUUUCUUUCUUUCUUUCUUUCUUUCUUUCUUUCUUUCUUUCUUUCUUUCUUUCUUUCUCUUUCCUGCUUUUCUCUCUGUCUCUCUGCCUCUCUCCUUUCCCUGUUCCUUCUCUCACUCUUUCUAUUGAAAAGAAGAUAUAUCACCUAUAUGAAUUUGUACUAUGUUAAAGCUAGGCAGUCUUAGGUAACAACUACUCCAAAUUCCCAUUUAACGGAUGACCUAGAGGAACACAGGGACUCAAAUUCAUGAGGUAGCCUUAUAUCUCAGGCACCUGACAGAUAUGUUGCUCUAGCAAUCAUCUACUUGUCAUUCCUUUGGGAUUCCAGAAGAAACUCCCUUUAGGAAAAAGUUUCCCCUACUAGUCAAAAAGGUGAUACAAUACUUAGGCCCAAACCCACUUCAGUCACGGAGGCCCUGACCAUUAUAUUAUCCUCAGAAAACUCAAUAUACUCAGAAGGACUAAGCUCAUGAAUUUGACAAGCCCGUACUUGGUCAAUGGCACCCUGGCUUCCUUUGCCUUCUUGAAGGCCUGUUAAUCUUUAUUUUUUCCAUUUAAUAUCUAUUGAUUCAUUGUUUUUUGCAUUACCCUCAUUUCUGAAUAUGACUUUCCCGUCCUCUCUACUCCAGUGAGUAAGCUUUCAUUAAAAAAAAAAAAGGGAGAGGAAAAACAGGUUAAUAAAGCUAACCCAAGCUC